This 399-nucleotide ribosomal RNA is filed under the name uncultured bacterium. RNAcentral's name for it is "bacterial SSU rRNA". It matches the Rfam family "Bacterial small subunit ribosomal RNA", at positions 9 to 408 of the family's 1533-position model. The record is from RNAcentral.
GAGUUUGAUCGUGGCUCAGGACGAACGCUGGCGGCGUGCCUAACACAUGCAAGUCGAGCGAUGAAGCCCUUCGGGGUGGAUUAGCGGCGGACGGGUGAGUAACACGUGGGUAACCUGCCUUGUAGAGGGGGAUAGCCUUCCGAAAGGAAGAUUAAUACCGCAUAACAUCUUUUUAUCGCAUGGUAGAAAGAUCAAAAGGAGCAAUCCCGCUACAAGAUGGACCCGCGGCGCAUUAGCUAGUUGGUGAGGUAACGGCUCACCAAGGCGACGAUGCGUAGCCGACCUGAGAGGGUGAUCGGCCACAUUGGAACUGAGACACGGUCCAGACUCCUACGGGAGCAGCAGUGGGGAAUAUUGCGCAAUGGGGGAAACCCUGACGCAGCAACGCCGCGUGAAUGA